CAAGGCAGAGAUGGGUAGCUGGUCUGAGAGGAUGACCAGCCACACUGGAACUGAGACACGGUCCAGACUCCUACGGGAGGCAGCAGUAGGGAAUUUUGGGCAAUGGGCGAAAGCCUGACCCAGCAACGCCGCGUGUGGGAUGAAGGCCCUCGGGUCGUAAACCACUGUCAGGAGGAAAGAAAAGCCGGCCGGGUAAUAUUCGGUCGGCCUGACGGUACCUCCAAAGGAAGCACCGGCUAACUCCGUGCCAGCAGCCGCGGUAAUACGGAGGGUGCAAGCGUUGUUCGGAAUUACUGGGCGUAAAGCGCGUGUAGGUGGUUGAGUAAGUCGAAUGUGAAAGCCCCGGGCUCAACCCGGGAAGUGCAUCCGAAACUGCUCGACUAGAGUCCCGGAGAGGAAGGCAGAAUUCCCAAUGUAGGGGUGAAAUCCGUAGAUAUUGGGAGGAAUACCGGUGGCGAAGGCGGCCUUCUGGACGGUGACUGACACUCAGACGCGAAAGCGUGGGGAGCAAACGGGAUUAGAUACCCUGGUAGUCCACGCUGUAAACGUUGCGAACUAGGUGUCGGGGGUAUUCACCCCUCCGGUGCCGAAGCUAACGUCUUAAGUUCGCCGCCUGGGAAGUACGGCCGCAAGGUUAAAACUCAAAUGAAUUGACGG
This 657-nucleotide ribosomal RNA is filed under the name uncultured Pseudomonadota bacterium. RNAcentral's name for it is "bacterial SSU rRNA". It matches the Rfam family "Bacterial small subunit ribosomal RNA", at positions 269 to 916 of the family's 1533-position model. The record is from RNAcentral. Lineage: Bacteria; Pseudomonadati; Pseudomonadota.